This 419-nucleotide ribosomal RNA is filed under the name uncultured bacterium. Its description in RNAcentral is "partial 16S ribosomal RNA". It matches the Rfam family "Bacterial small subunit ribosomal RNA", at positions 363 to 774 of the family's 1533-position model. The record is from RNAcentral.
AUUGCACAAUGGAGGGAACCCUGACGCAGCAACGCCGCGUGAGUGAAGAAGGUUCUCGGAUCGUAAAGCUCUGUUGUAAGGGAAGAACAAGUAUCGGAGUCACUGCCGGUACCUUGACGGUACCUGACGAGAAAGCCACGGCUAACUACGUGCCAGCAGCCGCGGUAAUACGUAGGGGGCGAGCGUUGUCCGGAAUUACUGGGCGUAAAGGGUACGUAGGCGGCUAUAUAAGUCAGGUGUGAAAUACCAGUGCUUAACACUGGAAUUGCAUUUGAAACUGUGUAGCUUGAGUGCAGGAGAGGAAAGUGGAAUUCCUAGUGUAGCGGUGAAAUGCGUAGAGAUUAGGAGGAACACCAGUGGCGAAGGCGACUUUCUGGACUGUAACUGACGCUGAGGUACGAAAGCGUGGGUAGCGAACA